GGCUCGUUGGUCAAGAGGUUAAGACACCGCCCUUUCACGGCGGGAACAGGGGGUCAAUUCCCCUACGAGUCACCA
Molecule: transfer RNA, 75 nt
Filed under: Clostridioides difficile
Lineage: Bacteria; Bacillati; Bacillota; Clostridia; Peptostreptococcales; Peptostreptococcaceae
Description: tRNA-Glu
Rfam family: tRNA
About the family: Transfer RNA (tRNA) molecules are approximately 80 nucleotides in length. Their secondary structure includes four short double-helical elements and three loops (D, anti-codon, and T loops). Further hydrogen bonds mediate the characteristic L-shaped molecular structure. tRNAs have two regions of fundamental functional importance: the anti-codon, which is responsible for specific mRNA codon recognition, and the 3' end, to which the tRNAs corresponding amino acid is attached (by aminoacyl-tRNA synthetases). tRNAs cope with the degeneracy of the genetic code in two manners: having more than one tRNA (with a specific anti-codon) for a particular amino acid; and 'wobble' base-pairing, i.e. permitting non-standard base-pairing at the 3rd anti-codon position.
Source: RNAcentral